GACGAACGCUGGCGGCGUGCUUAACACAUGCAAGUCGAACGGAGAACUUAGCAAUAAGUUCUUAGUGGCGAACGGGUGAGUAACACGUGGACAACCUACCUUCAAGAUGGGGACAACAUUCCGAAAGGGAUGCUAAUACCGAAUAAAGCUGCUGAUUCGCAUGAGUCGGUAGUGAAAGGCGGCCUCUAUUUAUAAGCUGUCACUUGAAGAAGGGUCCGCGCCUGAUUAGCUAGUUGGAGGGGUAAUGGCCCACCAAGGCAACGAUCAGUAGCCGGUCUGAGAGGACGAACGGCCACACUGGGACUGAGACACGGCCCAGACUCCUACGGGAGGCAGCAGUGGGGAAUCUUCCGCAAUGGACGAAAGUCUGACGGAGCGACGCCGCGUGGGUGAAGAAGGCCUUAGGGUCGUAAAGCCCUGUCAUUAGGGACGAAUGGCAGCAGGACUAAUAAGCCUGUCGUUUGACGGUACCUAAGGAGGAAGCCCCGGCUAACUACGUGCCAGCCGCCGCAGUAA
Molecule: ribosomal RNA, 516 nt
Filed under: uncultured bacterium
Lineage: Bacteria
Description: partial 16S ribosomal RNA
Rfam family: Bacterial small subunit ribosomal RNA
Source: RNAcentral